Molecule: transfer RNA, 38 nt
Filed under: Cucujoidea sp. 26 KM-2017
Lineage: Eukaryota; Metazoa; Arthropoda; Insecta; Coleoptera
Description: partial tRNA-Glu
Source: RNAcentral
UAGUUUAACAUAAAACUUUACAUUUUCAUUGUAAAAAU